Molecule: ribosomal RNA, 253 nt
Filed under: uncultured Rhodobacter sp.
Lineage: Bacteria; Pseudomonadati; Pseudomonadota; Alphaproteobacteria; Rhodobacterales
Description: partial 16S ribosomal RNA
Rfam family: Bacterial small subunit ribosomal RNA
Source: RNAcentral
UACGGAGGGGGCUGGCGUUAUUCGGAAUUACUGGGCGUAAAGCGCACGUAGGCGGACUGGAAAGUCAGAGGUGAAAGCCCGGGGCUCAACCCCGGAACUGCCUUUGAAACUCCCAGUCUUGAGGUCGAGAGAGGUGAGUGGAAUUCCGAGUGUAGAGGUGAAAUUCGUAGAUAUUCGGAGGAACACCAGUGGCGAAGGCGGCUCACUGGCUCGAUACUGACGCUGAGGUGCGAAAGCGUGGGGAGCAAACAGG